GACGAACGCUGGCGGCGUGCUUAACACAUGCAAGUCGAGCGGUAAGGCCCUUUCGGGGGUACACGAGCGGCGAACGGGUGAGUAACACGUGGGUGACCUGCCCUCAGCUCUGGGAUAAGCCCGGGAAACUGGGUCUAAUACUGGAUAUUACUCUGCGGUGCAUGCCGUGGGGUGGAAAGCCUUGUGCGGCUGGGGAUGGGCCCGCGGCCUAUCAGCUUGUUGGUGGGGUGAUGGCCUACCAAGGCGACGACGGGUAGCCGGCCUGAGAGGGCGACCGGCCACACUGGGACUGAGACACGGCCCAGACUCCUACGGGAGGCAGCAGUGGGGAAUCUUGCGCAAUGGGCGAAAGCCUGACGCAGCGACGCCGCGUGAGGGAUGACGGCCUGGU
Molecule: ribosomal RNA, 391 nt
Filed under: uncultured bacterium
Lineage: Bacteria
Description: bacterial SSU rRNA
Rfam family: Bacterial small subunit ribosomal RNA
Source: RNAcentral